AUUUUUUAUUUUUAUUUUUGAGAGACAGAGACAGCAGAGCAGGGGAGGGUCAGAGAGAGGGAGAUACAGAAUCUGAAGCAGGCUCCAGGCUCUGAGCUGUCAGCACAGAGCCCGACGCGGGGCUUGAACCCACGAACAGUGAGAUCAUGACCUGAGCUGAAGCUCAACCGACUGAGCCACCGAGGCUCCCCUACAAUCCUCCUUAUAUGACAAAUAAGGACCCAAAUCAUGUAAAGUCCUGAGAAACUUAUCUGUUUCAGAAUAUAAGUAUCUGAUGAAGAAGACUACUGACCUACGUCAGACCAUUUUUGGAAGGCAGUUUCAUUCCUCAAAGCUCUGCCAGGAGAACGGAAGGGACCAGAGGAACUGUGUGGGCACAGAAGGCCGGUGGCAAAGAAGGGAGUGGAAAAGAGGUUGCAGAAGAUUUACUUCAUGCACAGGAAAUGGUGGCGUUGCCUCUGGGCUCGGUGCUGCCGCAACCCUGGGGUUGGGAAACUCAGAAAAGGAGCACAUCGUGGGACCCUGGGCCCUGCUUGGGGGAUAGAUUGUGUCCUCACGAGGUUUGAGGGGCCACACAGCACAGACCGUGAUCCGGGUGGCUGGGGAAGGCCGCACAGGUGGGGGUCACAGCCUGUGGAAAGAAGAGUGAGGAUGGCAGACGUCCUGGGGCAGCACCCAGCCUCCCUGCGGCUGGCGUGUGGGCAUGGCUGCCAGGGACUGUGCCAUCUGUAA
Long non-coding RNA from Suricata suricatta (meerkat), 732 nucleotides. The record is from Ensembl. NCBI's taxonomy places the organism in Eukaryota, Metazoa, Chordata, Mammalia, Carnivora, Herpestidae.